UACGUAGGGUGCGAGCGUUAAUCGGAAUUACUGGGCGUAAAGCGUGCGCAGGCGGUUAUGCAAGACAGAUGUGAAAUCCCUGGGCUUAACCUAGGAACUGCAUUUGUGACUGGAUAGCUAGAGUGUGGUAGAGGGAGAUGGAAUUCCGCAUGUAGCAGUGAAAUGCGUAGAUAUGCGGAGGAACACCAAUGGCGAAGGCAAUCUCCUGGACCUGCACUGACGCUCAUGCACGAAAGCGUGGGGAGCAAACAGG
This 253-nucleotide ribosomal RNA is filed under the name uncultured bacterium. Its description in RNAcentral is "partial 16S ribosomal RNA". It matches the Rfam family "Bacterial small subunit ribosomal RNA", at positions 524 to 776 of the family's 1533-position model. The record is from RNAcentral.